UUACUUCUGUUCUCUGGAUUAGAGCUAGUGGACCAGAGACGACAAGCACUGUGUCUGGUCCGAAAUUCUUCAACUUCCAGUGACUUCCACUAUCGAUUUCUGGAUGUUCUCUCUGAUUGAAAGGCCAAGGUGUUUUUAUUCGUGGUUUUAAAGAUGGGGAACAAAGCUACAACAACUGUGAAAGAAGAACGCGAAGAGAUCCACUUGAAGGUUGUACCUCCAGUAGACAGGGCUUUUAUGCGUUGGCUUGCAAGAGAUCUACAGAGAGUUCAGGGAUUCAAACCGAAGAACACUCGUGCCAUCACUCCUCCUGAUAGCUACAUCGAGUUCAUGCGGUUGAAUGGAUCGCUUGAUGUUGAUUUGGAUGACCCUGAUCUUGCCCAUUUGUUCAAGUAAAACAAAAAUGGUGGCUGCGUUUCUUUCUUUUUUUUUAAACAGCUCAAGCUUUUUCAAAGUCUUAGCGUCUCUUUUGAUUACUUUACACUUGAGCUUGUGUGUUUAAAUGGGAUACAAGUGUCUGCAUUCAGAUAAACAAAUGUUUUCUAUUCAGUUGUCUUAACAUUGCCAAAAGUUGUAUGAGCUGGUGGAUUUAAUUUGGAUUUUAUCUCAAAACUCAAAACAUAAAUAGUUUUCUG
Brassica oleracea var. oleracea is the source of this 635-nucleotide RNA transcript. RefSeq lists it as uncharacterized. NCBI's taxonomy places the organism in Eukaryota, Viridiplantae, Streptophyta, Magnoliopsida, Brassicales, Brassicaceae. The record is from RefSeq and is a predicted model, not a curated record. The transcript has 2 exons.